CCUACGGGAGGCAGCAGUGAGGAAUAUUGGUCAAUGGACGAGAGUCUGAACCAGCCAAGUAGCGUGAAGGAUGACUGCCCUAUGGGUUGUAAACUUCUUUUAUAUGGGAAUAAAACGUUCCACGUGUGGGAUUUUGUAUGUACCAUAUGAAUAAGGAUCGGCUAACUCCGUGCCAGCAGCCGCGGUAAUACGGAGGAUCCGAGAGUUAUCCGGAUUUAUUGGGUUUAAAGGGAGCGUAGGUGGAUUGUUAAGUCAGUUGUGAAAGUUUGCGGCUCAACCGUAAAAUUGCAGUUGAAACUGGCAGUCUUGAGUACAGUAGAGGUGGGCGGAAUUCGUGGUGUAGCGGUGAAAUGCUUAGAUAUCACGAAGAACUCCGAUUGCGAAGGCAGUUCACUGGACUGCAACUGACACUGAGGCUCGAAAGUGUGGGUAUCAAACAGGAUUAGAUACCCCUGUAGUC
RNAcentral lists this ribosomal RNA (460 nucleotides) under uncultured bacterium. RNAcentral's name for it is "partial 16S ribosomal RNA". It matches the Rfam family "Bacterial small subunit ribosomal RNA", at positions 338 to 795 of the family's 1533-position model. The record is from RNAcentral.